ACAUAAUUGAAAUUAUUACAUUAGACCUAAUGAAAUGUUCAGCUUGACAUAACAACACUCUUUGUCAUCUAUUAUUGUUAUUAGUCCCAAUUUGUUAUCAAACACAGUCUAUUUAUAUUAACAGUCGUGCAAUCAGGAACCAUAAAGUAAACAAUCGUUCCCUCCAGUUGCUUUCUGAAGCAGAUCUAUAAGAAAUCGGAAUUACUGCUGUGGGACCACGGAAAACCAUACUUGCGACUAUUGGUAAAUUACGUGCAGCUCAAUCACAAGCUGGCGAAAACGAAGGGCCCCGUGACGAGAACCUAAGAGCCAUUUUAGUAAACGAUGUAGCAUUUCGGAAUAUCGUUUACAAUGAGCUGGACCAAAACAUCGUUCCUAAAGUAAAGCAUUUGCACGAGAUGGUACGAAUUUUGUGCGGACGGUUUGAAAAGGCGAUUUACGACCAGCAAGGAUAUCCAUCCACAAAUGAUCAAUGGCAAUUGGCCAAACAAAUCGUACGAGCAUUUCCUCAAUUGAAAACCACAAGGAUCAAUGAAAAUGCCCCGUGUGAGAAUCUUUCUCUGUAAUGAUUAUUCAACAACUGUAUUCAUU
This is a long non-coding RNA of Aedes albopictus (Asian tiger mosquito), 591 nucleotides long. RefSeq lists it as uncharacterized. NCBI's taxonomy places the organism in Eukaryota, Metazoa, Arthropoda, Insecta, Diptera, Culicidae. The record is from RefSeq and is a predicted model, not a curated record. The transcript is spliced from 4 exons.